UCUCACACACGUGCACACGUCGAACCCGCCUUAACCACUUUACCCAACAGCACGCACGUUGGCGGCGCUUCGUCGACGAGUUCAUGCGUAUGUGAGUGUUUCCGCUCCCGCCUCUCUCUCCCUCUCUCGCACGUUUUACCGAUCUUGCUCCCUGAAAAUCGUACAGUAGAAUACAUGAUCACACGCGAGUCUCUGGCGUUGACAUCGUCGUUGCUCUUUUCCUUCAUUCGUACCUUGCGGGUCAUCUCUGUGGGUUCGCGCCUCGGCCCGUUUCCGAAUUUCAUCAGCGAUACGGCGUGUGGCACGUUACCGACAUUGCUUUUUGGCGACACGUCGGCCGUGAGAAGCCGAAAAAGCGCAAACAACCGCACACAAACAGACACUCACGUGCCAGUUGUGCUCGACGUUCGUUUCGGCUUUUAAAAGUCGCUAAGAGGCGAUCUGGAGAAAAGUACUGUCGCCCUUCCCGCCUGUCUUCUUCUCUCCCCUCUCCUUGCCCCGUUUGUGGCGCUCACUGCCGUCUCACAGCUCCGCCGCGAGCCGCAUCAUCUUUUCCCACAACAACUCCUUCCUUCGCUUUCACUGACCGGUGGGAAACUUGCCUGCCUCACCGCCUCCCGUUGCACUCACGCUUUUGUUGGCGUCUUUUAUGCGCUUUGCCCACACACCCCCGCCCCGCUCUGUGUGCGUGUGCGUCUAUCUUGUUUUCCGCUUCCUUUCGAUUGGGAGGCCCGAGAGGUUCCCAACUUCACUGUGCGCCGCACGUGGUGUUGCCGUCGGGUUCCAUUGUAGCUACAUUCCCCCCCCCCUCCCGAAAAAAAAAAACAAAGAAACCCAUCUGGUUCUUCUCGUGCAUCCGCUGCGUUUUCCCUUCAGGAGCUUUCCUUUGUUGUCUCGCUGCUUGUUGUCCCUGUGACUGACUCCUUCCUCCCUUUGUGGAGGGACUCCUUCGACGCUAUUGGAAAGAGACGUGAGCGCACGUCGAUCGAGGACGAGCGUAUUGUGUGAGUGUUUAGUUUGCGUGACCGCACGUCGUAUCUCUGUCAGCUGUUUCGCUCAUUGAAGACGAAUGUGCUGCGACCACCCGCCACGCAAGCGCAACUGGAGGUUGUACUACCUUCUUGACCUCAUUUCACCGACGACGUCGCGGCAGGUUAAGUGGAACUUCCGCAAGAUCACGCUACGACACCAUUAUUAUCAGGCCUAUCUUGUUCUGUACAACCGCAGUCGUAAGUACCUGUACGACUCCAUCGGUGAAGAUGCGUACGGCUUCCUCGCCAGCGGAACGUGGGGGCCGUUUGUCCCUCUCUUGGGAGCUGUCGGCUCCGUGAUUGUAUACUCGCUCGUGCUCUUAGUAGAGGUGGCGCUGCUGCUUCUCUUUUUCGUCUUGCUCGCAGCAAACGACGGUAACUACAUCUCGUUGAGCUGGGCGAUGAUUAUGCUGCCGCUCAUGAUCUUCGCGGCGAUCAUGCUGGUGGUCGCCGCCGCUGCCGUCGCGAUCAACAUAUUGACGCCGAGGACGUACCAGGAGGGGAUGUCUAUGAUAGAUCGCCUCUCCCCCGUCGGGAACUGCCUCGCCGCUCUGAGUUACUUCUGCAUUCCGUUUGUGCUGUACACCCAGAUCCGGAGCGAUCCUGCGUCGAAGGUGGGGCUGUACCUGACGUACAUGUCUAUGCCCAUCGCGGGUGACAUACUGUACUACACCACCUCACUCAUCUGGCGCUGGCCGCGGCGGGUGCGGUUGCAGAUGGAGGUGGGCACCAACCGCCCGAGCCCGGUGAUAUACAACGGCAUUUUUGCCAUGGGCUUCUUGAACAUGGCCUGCGGCGUCGCGCAAUGGGUACUCCUUGGCUACAAGUUGGAUGGGCGAAUGAGCCGCUCGUGGUACGUUAUCUUUAUCCCGUUUUGCUUCCGCGCUGGCCUGCGCGUGGUGGAGGCGUGCCUGCGCAGCAUGAUGAAGUACACCAUCGGCGUCCGCUCCGAGAUCGGUGUCGCGUUCGACACCGUCGGCUCCUUCUUCUCGAACGGCAUGCUGCUCACUUCACUCUACUUCGUCGCCGCGCGCAUCCACCGCGGCCGCGAGAGAGUUCGCCUAGCGUGUGCGUUGAUACCUGUCUACCUCACCCUUCUCUGGAUCUUCCUCUGCCUAAUGGUGACGAUGGUCCUACUGCUCAUCUUCUACCGCCGCCGCAGUCGUGAGGAGCGCCGUGUGAACAGGCAGUGGACACCUCCUCAGGACAAGUACGAGGAGGCAGCCAAGGUGCUGGGCGGCACUGACACCUCCGACUCCGGUCCCGCGCGCGUCUUUAAGGCAUCGGAGCACGGCUGGGAUGAUGUGGAUUCCGUCUCCACGACGUUUGCCACCUUCCCGGCCGACGUGGACGACCACGGCGGCAACGAGGAGUACGAGGAUUUCGAGACGGACGAGGAGCACCCGGUGCUCCCACAGGGGACGCCGCGGCGGUCGCAGGUGCCCUACGGCAGCCCCCGCGAUCACGUCAGCGAGGCCGCCGAUGCCGACAGAACACCCAUCAGUGACCAGGGCAGCUCAUGGAGGUACAGGGCCUCGCGGCACGCGAACAGGGCGGUCCGACGUGGCGUGAGUGGCUUGUCGAGCCGCCGCGGCAGUCCGGAACGCUAUACGCCGGAGGAGGCAUCCGGCGUGACGGCCACCGCUGCAUCGGACGAGGAUGACUACACGGAGGUUACAACGUACAUGAACGAGGGGACAACAGUGUCGCGCAAAGGGGGGGACUUUACGCGGUCGAGUAGCUACAGCUACACGGCCCAGACGACGUACGUAGAUGAAGAGACGGAUUACACAGGUGAGAGUCAGACCACCUAUCACACUCGCAGCAGCUCCUACUCAUCUCUAUCCUCUGCCUCCUCGAUCGGCAACUUCGCCGCAUCUGCAGACAGGAGCGCGGAGAGGAAGAGGUAGGUGAGGAUUGUGUGGGGUUGUUCAGGGCUCUCUCUCUUGCUUCGUACGCCAGUGUCACUGCCUCACGUACCUCUCCACCUUGGCAGCUCGCUCCUCGGUCGUCGCCGGUGGCGCUCUCAUUCCCCGCUUGCUGUGUGCAUACAAGCAGAGCACGUGCACACACACACACACACGCACGCACGCACAUGCACAAAUCGAGGCAUGUUAGCGGAAUGCCUAACACCCAGAAGAACACAUAGUUUUUUGUUGUUUUGCUGUUGUUUGUAUGUUUACUUCUUCCGUCGCUUCUUCAUACGUGCAUCUCUCUCUAUAUGUGUAUUUGCGUGCAUCGUCUCUCCGCUGGUCUUUCUCCUUUCCCACACCACCAUUAGCUUUUUUUUCUUUGCUUACUAACUAGACUACGACGGCGUGACCAUGUGUGUCUGCGCUCGCUGUUUGAUUCUUUGGCCAUUCUCUGGUUGUUAAGGUUUCUGCCCCCCCCUCCCCAUUUCAUUGUAAUUAGAGAUGUGCGCGCGCUUCUUCUUGCCUUUGUUUUUUUUCCCGUGUUCAGGUGCUCUGCGUCUUUUCUGCGGUCAUGUUUCAUGUUCUGGUCGGUUCCUCAUCGUAUACAGUCCAGAGGAAAAAAAAAGAACAGGCGAUACUUGGCCAUAUGGGCACAAACCUCAGGCCUGCUGGAGCGCGUGUCGGUGUCGUGUUGGCGUCUGUCUGUAUCUCUCUCUACACUUUUAUUUGACAACGUCUUGAUAUGUGUGUAUUUGUGUUCGUUCGCUGUCGACUGUGGAUGCGUUUUCGUCUUUCCUCGUGUUCGUGUUGCUGCGUCUACUCCUAUUUUCGUUGGGAGAGUGAGCGUGCGCGCUGACCGUGCCGCGUCACAGCGAGACUUCACGGUACACCUGUGUGUGCGCCAGCGCGAUGGCGGAGAUGGCUUCAAAUGCUCACACUGUGCGUGCAUGUGUAUGUAUGUGUACUAGUGGCAGGCGGAGUUUGGCUUUGGAAGGUGAAUGUCAUUGGUUAUACUCCACCACCCGUGUUUAUCGACCCUCUCUCUGUGUCGCCACUGCGUGUGUGCGUGCGUGUGUACCGCAUCAUUGUUCCUCUUGUGGCCCAUGCUGACUUUGCCCAGCUUGUUCUCUCGACGCAGGCCAAUGUGCCCCGGUCUUCUUCGUCUGUAGAGUCUUGUGAGGGAUGCAACAAGCAACCUAUAGAUAC
RNAcentral lists this unclassified non-coding RNA (4150 nucleotides) under Leishmania donovani. Its description in RNAcentral is "gene:LdHU3.36.8270(CDS-product:hypothetical_prote in_conserved)". Lineage: Eukaryota; Euglenozoa; Kinetoplastea; Trypanosomatida; Trypanosomatidae. The record is from RNAcentral.